UAUAUAUAUAUAUAUAUAUUCUAGUAAAAUGUAUGUGCAAAUGCACGUAAUAAUUAUUAGAAGAAGUUAUAAUUUUUAAAAAUUAUUUUUAAUUUUAGGCCAUAUUUUAUAUGAUUGCCAAAUACGUAUCUGUCUGCGAUCACGAAUGACGCACCUCGCACGGUUGAUCUUAUUUUCAAUUUCCCGUGGGGUAGUAUUCAUGAUUCAGAUUAAGAUUUGAAUAUGUAUGGGUAUCAAGUAUUGUGGAUUCAUGGCUUCCAAUAAACGCAAGCGUUUAUUGUUAAUUACCCCUACAAAGUGUUAGGGCACCUUCGAUUGAGAGACCUUUGUAACGCCGAAAUGGACUGAAAUUGAAUAAAAGGUGGAUUUUAUAACACAAUCCGUUGUAUAGUUACACGGCUUAACCAGGGGCAUACCCCCAGUGUACAUGAAUGUAACAUAAAAGAGAAAAUGAUUAGUUCAACGACAUGACGGUCGAUUGAACUGGGUUGCUCUAUGGCGAUCGAUUAGAUUUUGACUUGCUCAAUUUAACGACAUGGCGGUCGAGUAGAUUUAGGUUGCUCAGUUUAACGACAUGGCGGUCGAUUAGAUUUUGACUGGCUCAGUUAACGACAUGGCGGUCUAUUGGGAUUGAUUUGCUCAGUUUAAUGACAUAGCAGUCGUUUGGGUUUGGAUUGCUCAGUUUAACGACAUGGCGGUCUAUUGGGAUUGAUUUGCUCAGUUUAAUGACAUGGCGGUCGUUUGGGUUUGGAUUGCUCAGUUUAACGACAUGGCGGUCAUUAGAUUUGAUUUGCUCAGUUUAACGACAUGGCGGUCGAUUAGAUUUUGACUGGCUCAGUUAACGACAUGGCGGUCUAUUGGGAUUGAUUUGCUCAGUUUAAUGACAUAGCAGUCGUUUGGGUUUGGAUUGCUCAGUUUAACGACAUGGCGGUCUAUUGGGAUUGAUUUGCUCAGUUUAAUGACAUGGCGGUCGUUUGGGUUUGGAUUGCUCAGUUUAACGACAUGGCGGUCAUUAGAUUUGAUUUGCUCAGUUUAACGACAUGGCGGUCGAUUAGAUUUGAUUUGCUCAGUUUAACGACAUGGCGGUCGAUUAGAUUUGAUUUGCUCAGUUUAACGACAUGGCGGUCGAUUGGGAUUUGAUUUGCUCAAUUUAACGACAUGACGGUCAUUAGAUUUGAUUUGCUCAGUUUAACGACAUGGCUGUCGAUUGGGAUUUGAUUUGCUCGACUUGGACUCACCUUCAGCUUAAAUUCUGAGUUUG
RNAcentral lists this long non-coding RNA (1261 nucleotides) under Ananas comosus (pineapple). Its description in RNAcentral is "long non-coding RNA (ACOM_LNC021467)". Lineage: Eukaryota; Viridiplantae; Streptophyta; Magnoliopsida; Poales; Bromeliaceae. The record is from RNAcentral.